ACGCUUCGGGUUGUAAACCUCUUUAGCAGGGAAGAAGCGAAAGUGACGGUACCUGCAGAAAAAGCGCCGGCUAACUACGUGCCAGCAGCCGCGGUAAUACGUAGGGCGCAAGCGUUAUCCGGAAUUAUUGGGCGUAAAGAGCUCGUAGGCGGUUUGUCGCGUCUGCUGUGAAAUCCGGAGGCUCAACCUCCGGCCUGCAGUGGGUACGGGCAGACUAGAGUGCGGUAGGGGAGAUUGGAAUUCCUGGUGUAGCGGUGGAAUGCGCAGAUAUCAGGAGGAACACCGAUGGCGAAGGCAGAUCUCUGGGCCGUAACUGACGCUGAGGAGCGAAAGGGUGGGGAGCAAACAGGCUUAGAUACCCUGGUAGUCCACCCCGUAAACGUUGGGAACUAGUUGUGGGGUCCAUUCCACGGAUUCCGUGACGCAGCUAACGCAUUAAGUUCCCCGCCUGGGGAGUACGGCCGCAAGGCUAAAACUCAAAGGAAUUGACGGGGACCCGCACAAGCGGCGGAGCAUGCGGAUUAAUUCGAUGCAACGCGAAGAACCUUACCAAGGCUUGACAUAUACGAGAACGGGCCAGAAAUGGUCAACUCUUUGGACACUCGUAAACAGGUGGUGCAUGGUUGUCGUCAGCUCGUGUCGUGAGAUGUUGGGUUAAGUCCCGCAACGAGCGCAACCCUCGUUCUAUGUUGCCAGCACGUAAUGGUGGGAACUCAUGGGAUACUGCCGGGGUCAACUCGGAGGAAGGUGGGGAUGACGUCAAAUCAUCAUGCCCCUUAUGUCUUGGGCUUCACGCAUGCUACAAUGGCCGGUACAAAGGGCUGCAAUACCGCGAGGUGGAGCGAAUCCCAAAAAGCCGGUCCCAGUUCGGAUUGAGGUCUGCAACUCGACCUCAUGAAGUCGGAGUCGCUAGUAAUCGCAGAUCAGCAACGCUGCGGUGAAUACGUUCCCGGGUCUUGUACACACCGCCCGUCAAGUCAUGAAAGUCGGUAACACCUGAAGCCGGUGGCCUAACCCUUGUGGAGGGAGCCGUCGAAGGUGGGAUCGGUAAUUAGGACCUAAG
Molecule: ribosomal RNA, 1063 nt
Filed under: Microbacterium sp. 0909CI27Y_5
Lineage: Bacteria; Bacillati; Actinomycetota; Actinomycetes; Micrococcales; Microbacteriaceae
Description: bacterial SSU rRNA
Rfam family: Bacterial small subunit ribosomal RNA
Source: RNAcentral